RNAcentral lists this ribosomal RNA (495 nucleotides) under uncultured bacterium. RNAcentral describes it as "partial 16S ribosomal RNA". It matches the Rfam family "Bacterial small subunit ribosomal RNA", at positions 28 to 507 of the family's 1533-position model. The record is from RNAcentral.
GACGAACGCUGGCGGCGUGCCUAAUACAUGCAAGUAGAACGCUGAAGGAGGAGCUUGCUUCUCUGGAUGAGUUGCGAACGGGUGAGUAACGCGUAGGUAACCUGCCUGGUAGCGGGGGAUAACUAUUGGAAACGAUAGCUAAUACCGCAUAAGAGUAGAUGUUGCAUGACAUUUGCUUAAAAGGUGCAAUUGCAUCACUACCAGAUGGACCUGCGUUGUAUUAGCUAGUUGGUGGGGUAACGGCUCACCAAGGCGACGAUACAUAGCCGACCUGAGAGGGUGAUCGGCCACACUGGGACUGAGGCACGGCCCAGACUCCUACGGGAGGCAGCAGUAGGGAAUCUUCGGCAAUGGACGGAAGUCUGACCGAGCAAAGCCGCGUGAGGGAAGAAGGUUUUCGGAUCGUAAAGCUCUGUUGUAAGAGAAGAACGAGUGUGAGAGUGGAAAGUUCACACUGUGACGGUAUCUUACCAGAAAGGGACGGCUAACUACGUG